CAUUGAGCCAAACUGGUCCUGGCAAUUGAAGGGUUUUUUAUGCGAGCACUAGGCCUAUCCUAGGGAUGGGUAGAGUACCAAUACUACUUCAGCCAGGGAACGCCCUCUGCAAUGGAAGCUGAAGGAAUGAGAGAGGCCCUGAUCAAUCUUUAUACAAAUGCAAAGUGAUACAGAUAAACAGGUGAGCCAGUGAUGCUCUUAGAGGUUGGGCAGGGGAUGGGGUUGAUCUCUGUCUAACCUUGACUUGCUUAUCUUUCCCUUCAGGAUGUUUAGCUUGGUCACUCCCGGGGAGCACGUUCUUACUCAUCUCUAACCCCCUGGUAUCCAGCCCAAUGCCCAGACCCGAGAAGACCAAGGAGACAUGGCCACUGAAUGCAGCGUGGUGCCCUGAAUUGCAGCCUGGAGCAGAAAAAGGACAUAAGUGGGGAAAAUGGUAAAAUGCAAGAAUAUGUAACAAUGGGAAUAAGAAGUCAAAGAAAAGCCGUGAAGGAAGAGUUUAAGCAAUAUAUCGGAUUUCCAAAAGGAGCUGCGGCCCAGGUGGGUGACCCUUAUUCAUUCUCCCAAAAAAGAUGGGCGGUCCUGCAGAAACCUCAACACUGAAAAGGCCAGGAGGGAGCCUGCAACCAGUGCUUUCCUGUGAGGGGAGUGUGCGCGAUGGAAGAAUCACAGACUGGAAAGUCAGAGAGACCUGCGUUUGUGGUUAUGACUCAGCGUCUGCCAGGAGGGAGCCCUCACUGGGACUCAGUCUCCUCAGCUGUAAGCCAGGUUCUCAUGGCAACUCCGAAAGGUCGAUGAACACCAUCCACCCAGCCACCCUUUUGUACAGAGAAAGCCAAGAUACAGGAGGAGGGGAGGAGCAGAAUUAGCCAUGAGGAGCAGCCUGUAUGCCAAGCACCAGGGCCUGGAGCAGACUGACACCCGGAGCACCAGCCUCUGCAGCCGGUGAUUCUUUGGUAAAGAAAUCACUUUCCCAAAUCCUCCAGCCCAGCAGCCGCUUUGGCUUAGGUCUGCCGUCUUCAGUCUCUUUAACGGCCCCUGUCACGAUGUGUAUGGUGCAGUUUUCCAACUCUGGAUCCACACCCUCAGCUGGAGAGUCAGCAGCAUCACCUCGAUGGCUCCCUGCUCCCUUCGCCCUCCGAGGAGCAGCUGUUUCUGGGCGCUGCUGCCCGCCUGCCACAGCUGCUGCGCUUCUAGCCAGCAGCCUCCCGUGGGCGGUCAGAGGCGCCUCACCGGCCGGAUACACGCACGGGCUGAGAGUUUGCCACCGAGGUAACGGCCACAUCAUCAGGCGACUGUGCGUGUAGCCUGUUUCCCAAGUUCCGGCUUUACCAGAAGGA
This is a long non-coding RNA of Pipistrellus kuhlii (Kuhl's pipistrelle), 1337 nucleotides long. RefSeq lists it as uncharacterized. The record is from RefSeq and is a predicted model, not a curated record. The transcript is spliced from 5 exons. Lineage: Eukaryota; Metazoa; Chordata; Mammalia; Chiroptera; Vespertilionidae.